UCUUCAUCUAAAGGCAUUUCAGAAGUGCAUGCUAUGUCACAUGUGAAAAAGUAGUUGGAAGAGGGAAAAGAUGCUAUGUCUUUGUUCAGUGUUCUGACCUAUGAACAUCUGAAUGAUUAGUAGUCUAAAGU
Rattus norvegicus (Norway rat) is the source of this 131-nucleotide small nucleolar RNA. Ensembl annotates it as small nucleolar RNA SNORA17. The record is from Ensembl. NCBI's taxonomy places the organism in Eukaryota, Metazoa, Chordata, Mammalia, Rodentia, Muridae.